GUUGGGGGUUGGGGAACUGUUAUAUUGCCUGUCUGUAGUUGUGAUCAUAAAACAUUUCCUUGCCACAUGAAGGAGAAGGGAAAAACAUCUACUGACAGCAAAUCUAUCGUUCUACUCAGACAAAAACUGCUGGUACAGUUAGAAAAUGUAGCCCUCUCAGGGUCAGCGAUGUUCAUUGUGAAUAGGAAGCUUCCCAGCACACAAACCUCUCAUGAUGAUAAGCAUGGCAACGGUCCUUAUAAAGGAUUCACCAUAUCAACACAAACUGAGGCAGCAUGUUGUCAGUGUUCCUGCCAUGUAUGGUUACAUGAACGCUAUAUCAAAAAUAAUCUCUAAGGACACACUCGGCAGUCUUGUUACUGGUAUUGGCGAUAACAAAAUAAACACUGCUUUCUUUGCAGUAACCAGCCCCCUGCUACAUACACACAGUCAUACUCAUAAAAACACAUUAAACCAUGAUGGAUCAGGAAAUCUGCGACACAAGUCAGAUAAAAUGGGUGAGGUUAUGAAGAGGAGGCAGAGGAGAUGGGGAUGACAAUGACAGGAAGCUCUUUUGUUUGCGUUUUAUUUUCUUAGUCCGGCUCCUACUAUGCUUUCUUCCUCCUCCUGACUAUUUUCCCUGCUAUUACAAAAACACUUGAGCGUUGCAUUCAUACACAUGAACGAAAAGCUGAAGCCACAAACCACCUACACUUUAGUCAUUAUUCACUCACUCUCUCCCUCCCUCUACGUGGUUUUAAUUUUCCAAAUGCUUAGACUUUAAUUAAUAAGGGAAAGGGAGAAGGCCUUAAUUGAAAGCAUUCCUGAGAAUAUCAACUACUACUCCUGAGGACUGCUCCAUUUUCUCCC
Xyrichtys novacula (pearly razorfish) is the source of this 849-nucleotide non-coding RNA. The record is from the annotation of a GenBank genome assembly. NCBI's taxonomy places the organism in Eukaryota, Metazoa, Chordata, Actinopteri, Labriformes, Labridae.